RNAcentral lists this transfer RNA (74 nucleotides) under Magnetospirillum moscoviense. It matches the Rfam family "tRNA". Rfam says of the family: Transfer RNA (tRNA) molecules are approximately 80 nucleotides in length. Their secondary structure includes four short double-helical elements and three loops (D, anti-codon, and T loops). Further hydrogen bonds mediate the characteristic L-shaped molecular structure. tRNAs have two regions of fundamental functional importance: the anti-codon, which is responsible for specific mRNA codon recognition, and the 3' end, to which the tRNAs corresponding amino acid is attached (by aminoacyl-tRNA synthetases). tRNAs cope with the degeneracy of the genetic code in two manners: having more than one tRNA (with a specific anti-codon) for a particular amino acid; and 'wobble' base-pairing, i.e. permitting non-standard base-pairing at the 3rd anti-codon position. Lineage: Bacteria; Pseudomonadati; Pseudomonadota; Alphaproteobacteria; Rhodospirillales; Rhodospirillaceae. The record is from Rfam by way of RNAcentral.
GCGGGUGUAGCUCAGUUGGUUAGAGCGCCAGGUUGUGGUCUUGGAUGUCGUCGGUUCGAACCCGAUCACUCGCC